RNAcentral lists this long non-coding RNA (967 nucleotides) under Marmota monax (woodchuck). Lineage: Eukaryota; Metazoa; Chordata; Mammalia; Rodentia; Sciuridae. The record is from RNAcentral.
CUCUGUUUCCUGGUAGUUAAGUUCUGAGCCACUUUCCUCCUCCACACUCUUCUACCAUGAUAUUCUGCCUCACCUCAGGCCCAGAGUCCUGGAGAAAUCUGGACACAGACAUGCACAUAGGAACAACAGCCUGUGAAGAUGAAAAUGAAGAUUUCAGAGACACAGCAGAAGCCAAGAAAUGGCAAAAUUGCUAGCAAAGUACCAGAAGUAAGGAGGAAGCUUGGAACAGAUUCUCCCUCAUGACUCACAAAAGGAACCAACUCUCUGAACAUCUUGAUCUCAGACUUUCAGCCUCCAAAAUAGAGAGCAAUAAAUUUCUGUUGUUCUAAGACACCCAGUUUUGAUACUUGGUUAUAGCAAUGGCAGCAAACUAAUACAGGAAUUAUAAAUGACAAUGAGAAAAUAAAUUAACAAUAAAUUUCCUUUCUUUGGGAGAUUGUCAAAAUUGUAGAAUAUAGCUGGCAGCCUGGUAUAAGUGAAAAAUUUAACAGAUCUGGAUUCAAAUCUUAACUUGACUAAACCACAUGAUAGACUAUAAAUGAUUAUCUCCAUCUGUGGAAUUUCAUCUCAAUUCCCAGGAUUUUAAGAGCAGGUAAAAGAAAGAAGAGACACAUGAACUCAGUUUUUGUUUCCUUGGUAUUAUAUGAGAGCUAUAUUUGAAUCCAGAUCUGUUGAUUUUAACUUAUUUUUGUCUGGAUUGAUGUCCUGAGCAUUAUUCCGCAUCUCUAAACCACAAUACCUUUAUUGAAAAAAAUGGGGGAAUGGUAUUUAAUUUAUAUUUUUUUCUGAUGAUUAAAUAAUACUAUUUACUGAUUCAAAAAUUCAUUGUUUAAUCUGCAUUAUUUCACAACCAACCAAUGAGUUACUGUGUUACCUCCAUUUAUGGAAAAAAGUUUGGGCUCAUGUAUCAUUCAUUUAAUCAGAACUCUUUUUGCACAUUGGUUAAUCAUCUAAGGCUAAAGCCACA